Molecule: ribosomal RNA, 500 nt
Filed under: uncultured Glomeromycotina
Lineage: Eukaryota; Fungi; Glomeromycota
Description: partial small subunit ribosomal RNA
Rfam family: Eukaryotic small subunit ribosomal RNA
Source: RNAcentral
CCCAUAGCGUAUAUUAAAGUUGUUGCAGUUAAAAAGCUCGUAGUUGAAUUUCGGGGUUAGUAGGUUGGUCAUGCCUCUGGUAUGUACUGGUCUCACUGAUUCCUCCUUCCUUAUGAACCGUAAUGCCAUUAAUUUGGUGUUGCGGGGAAUUUGGACUGUUACUUUGAAAAAAUUAGAGUGUUUAAAGCAAGCUAACGCUUGAAUACAUUAUCAUGUAAUAAUGAAAUAGGACGUUCGAUCUUAUUUUGUUGGUUUCUAGGAUUGACGUAAUGAUUAAUAGGGAUAGUUGGGGGCAUUAGUAUUCAAUUGUCAGAGGUGAAAUUCUUGGAUUUAUUGAAGACUAACUACUGCGAAAGCAUUUGCCAAGGAUGUUUUCAUUAAUCAAGAACGAAAGUUAGGGGAUCGAAGACGAUCAGAUACCGUCGUAGUCUUAACCAUAAACUAUGCCGACUAGGAAUCAGACGAUGUUAAUUUUUUAAUGACUCGUUUGGCACCUUACG